CAGUAGCCGCGGUAAUACGAAGGGGGCUAGCGUUGCUCGGAAUGACUGGGCGUAAAGGGCGCGUAGGCGGAUGGCACAGUCAGAUGUGAAAUUCCCGGGCUUAACCUGGGGGCUGCAUUUGAUACGUGUUGUCUAGAGUGAGGAAGAGGGUUGUGGAAUUCCCAGUGUAGAGGUGAAAUUCGUAGAUAUUGGGAAGAACACCGGUGGCGAAGGCGGCAACCUGGUCCUUGACUGACGCUGAGGCGCGAAAGCGUGGGGAGCAAACAGGAUUAGAUACCCGGGUAGUCCCUGUCUCUUAUAA
Molecule: ribosomal RNA, 301 nt
Filed under: uncultured bacterium
Lineage: Bacteria
Description: partial 16S ribosomal RNA
Rfam family: Bacterial small subunit ribosomal RNA
Source: RNAcentral